RNAcentral lists this long non-coding RNA (484 nucleotides) under Rattus norvegicus (Norway rat). RNAcentral's name for it is "long non-coding RNA NONRATT017245". Lineage: Eukaryota; Metazoa; Chordata; Mammalia; Rodentia; Muridae. The record is from RNAcentral.
GGAGAACUUAACAUCUGGGGCCACGGAAAACGCCCCAGAGAAGACCAGAGAUGCGAAAGACAAUGAAGACCGUUCACCUCCAAACUGAUGUCCCAAUCAGACUGUACCAGUUAGAGCCGAUGAACUGCAGCCUCUGAGUGGACAGAGCCAAGAGGGGCUUCCCAGGAUCUUCCACACAAGGAUGGUCGUGCCCAGAUGACCCCCAGAUGACCUGCCACAGACCAUGUUUUCUAAGAACCAUUUUGUUCACUGAUAUAAAAACAGGAAUUCAUGACGCUGUACAGAAUUUUUAUUUUUAAACUGUCUUUUAAAUAAUAUAUUCUUAUACAGAAAUGGGUCUGUAUUUUUUUUCCUUUGGGUUUUAGACUCGGGCUUCCAAGGACUCUGGUUUUCCCUUGGACGUAUCUUCGUGCAGUUGAACCAUGGGAUGUGAUAUGAGGGUCCAUGUAAAUUCCACAUUAAAUGUCAGAACGGUGCCCAAGUA